UGAGGGAUGACUGCAAAGAUAAAACAAGAAAGUGAAGAGCAAAGCAGACAAAAUUAAUACACCGAGUAAGGAGAUUCAGAUACCUAAAUUAUUCUGAAAAGCUGAGUUACCAUCUGACUUUCUCCCAGAAUCUUGGUCCAGAAUAUUGGGGAAGAGAGGCUUCAGGAAUUUGAACUCACCAGUCCCAGAGUCGCCAGUGAGACAGACCUCAUACCGGUAGCUGUGGGACAGCGUCCCAGCGCCGCCGACGUCCACCAGGCGGCCCGGAAAGG
RNAcentral lists this long non-coding RNA (272 nucleotides) under Fukomys damarensis (Damara mole-rat). RNAcentral's name for it is "lncRNA (ENSFDAG00000024779.1)". Lineage: Eukaryota; Metazoa; Chordata; Mammalia; Rodentia; Bathyergidae. The record is from RNAcentral.